RNAcentral lists this ribosomal RNA (513 nucleotides) under uncultured bacterium. RNAcentral describes it as "partial 16S ribosomal RNA". It matches the Rfam family "Bacterial small subunit ribosomal RNA", at positions 28 to 523 of the family's 1533-position model. The record is from RNAcentral.
GACGAACGCUGGCGGCAUGCCUAAUACAUGCAAGUCGAGCGAACAGAUGAAGUGCUUGCACUUCUGACGUUAGCGGCGAACGGGUGAGUAACACGUAAGGAAUCUACCUAUAAGCGGGGGAUAACAUUCGGAAACGGGUGCUAAUACCGCAUAAUAUCUUCUUCCGCAUGGAAGAAGAUUGAAAGACGGCUCUGCUGUCACUUAUAGAUGACCUUGCGGUGCAUUAGUUAGUUGGUGGGGUAAUGGCCUACCAAGACGAUGAGGCAUAGCCGACCUGGGAGGGUGAUCGGCCAUAUUGGGACGUAGACACGGCCCAAACUCCUACGGGAGGCAGCAGUAGGGAAUCUUCCGCAAUGGGCGAAAGCCUGACGGAGCAAUGCCGCGUGAGUGAAGAAGGCCUUCGGGUCGUAAAACUCUGUUAUAAGAGAAGAACAAAUUGUAGAGUAACUGCUACAGUCUUGACGGUAUCUUAUCAGAAAGCCACGGCUAACUACGUGCCAGCCGCCGCCGUAA